CCUACGGGAGACAGCAGUAGGGAAUCUUUCACAAUGGGCGAAAGCCUGAUGGAGCAACGCCGCGUGCAGGAUGAAGGCCUUCGGGUUGUAAACUGCUUUUAUAAGCGAGAAAUAUGAUGGUAACUUAUGAAUAAGGAUCGGCUAACUACGUGCCAGCAGCCGCGGUCAUACGUAGGAUCCGAGCAUUAUCCGGAGUGACUGGGUGUAAAGAGUUGCGUAGGUGGCAUAAUAAGUAGCUAGUGAAAUCUGGUGGCUCAACCAUUCAGAUUAUUGGCUAAACUGUUAAGCUCGAGACCGUUAGGGGUAACUGGAAUUUGUAGUGUAGGAGUGAAAUCCGUAGAUAUUAGAAGGAACACCAAUAGCGUAGGCAGGUUGCUGGGACGGUUCUGACACUAAGGCACGAAAGCGUAGGGAGCAAACGGGAUUAGAUACCCUUGUAGUC
RNAcentral lists this ribosomal RNA (442 nucleotides) under uncultured bacterium. RNAcentral describes it as "partial 16S ribosomal RNA". It matches the Rfam family "Bacterial small subunit ribosomal RNA", at positions 338 to 795 of the family's 1533-position model. The record is from RNAcentral.